Molecule: non-coding RNA, 373 nt
Organism: Cinara cedri
Lineage: Eukaryota; Metazoa; Arthropoda; Insecta; Hemiptera; Aphididae
Source: the annotation of a GenBank genome assembly
CGUCCGAGUGAUACCAAAAACAGUUUGUGGACCAUUUGACACGAUCAAUUCUCGAUUGAAAUCACAGUCGAAUAAAGUUUAAGUAGCUUUUUUCACGGCGGCCACGGUAUACGAAAACCUACGCAAAUAUGAAACGGCAAUUGUUGCGCGACGUACGAUGGUAAUUGAGAUAGUCGGAAUUUACGAAUCAUCUAGACGCGAUCGCAAUUACAGUUCGUGUUACUGCCUGUGUACAUAUUACAAAUACAACAUUUUAACGUUUUCCGAGUUUUCUCCUUUUCAAGUCACAAUUCUCGGUGAGCUAUAGUCGGUUUUUGUAUUGUAACGUUAAAAACACAAUUAAAAAAAAAAAAUAUAUAUAUAUAUGUUUACA